UCCAGGCCCUACGGGCGCAGCAGGCGCGAAAACUUUGCAAUGUGCGAAAGCACGACAAGGUUANUCCGAGUGCAACAUGCUGAAUGUAGCUUUUGGUAAAUGUAAAUAGUUUAUUGAAUAAGGGGAGGGAAAGUCUGGUGUCAGCCGCCGCGGUAAUACCAGCUCCCCGAGUGGUCGGGANGAUUAUUGGGCCUAAAGCAUCCGUAGCCUGUUCUGUAGGUCUUAUGUUAAAAUCAAUUGCUUAACAAUUGAACUGCAUGAGAUACCACAAAACUAGGAGGCGGGAGAGGUGGACGGUACUCCACGGGUAGGGGUAAAAUCCUCUGAACCGUGGAAGACCACCAGUGGCGAAGGCGGUCCACCAGAACGCGCUCGACGGUGAGGGAUGAAAGCUGGGGUAGCGAACCGGAUUAGAUACCCGGGUAGUCCCAGCUGUAAACGAUGCAAGCUAGGUGAUGCAUCAGCCACGUGUUGAUGCAGUGCCGCAGGGAAGCCGUUAAGCUUGCCGCCUGGGGAGUACGGUCGCAAGGCUGAAACUUAAAGGAAUUGGCGGGGGAGCACCACAAGGGGUGAAGCCUGCGGUUCAAUUGGAGUCAACGCCGGGAACCUUACCAGGAGAGACAGCAGAGUGAAGGUCAAGCUGAAGACUUUACCAGACAAGCUGAGAGGAGGCGCAUGGCCGUCGACAGCUCGUGCCGUGAGGCGUCCUGUUAAGUCAGGCAACGAGCGAGACCCUUGCCAUUAAUUGCUUCCAUCGAUCGAAAGGUUGGCGGAGCUAGUUAAUGGGACUGCCGUUGAUAAAACGGAGGAAGGAAGGGGCCACGGCAGGUCAGUAUGCCCCGAAACUCUUGGGCCACACGCGGGCUGCAAUGGUAGGCACAAUAGGUACCGAAUUCGAGAGAAUGAGGCAAUCCCAAAAUCCUACCCCAGUUGUGAUUGAGGGCUGCAACUCGCCCUCAUGAAUCUGGAAUCCCUAGUAACCGCGUGUCAACAUCGCGCGGUGAAUACGUCCCUGCUCCUUGCACACACCGCCCGUCGCUUCACCCGAGUUGGGUUUGGGGGANAUAGUGUCUUAUUGACAUUA
RNAcentral lists this ribosomal RNA (1084 nucleotides) under uncultured crenarchaeote. RNAcentral describes it as "bacterial SSU rRNA". It matches the Rfam family "Archaeal small subunit ribosomal RNA", at positions 315 to 1402 of the family's 1478-position model. The record is from RNAcentral. Lineage: Archaea; Thermoproteati; Thermoproteota.